This 396-nucleotide ribosomal RNA is filed under the name uncultured bacterium. RNAcentral's name for it is "partial 16S ribosomal RNA". It matches the Rfam family "Bacterial small subunit ribosomal RNA", at positions 523 to 918 of the family's 1533-position model. The record is from RNAcentral.
AUACAGAGGGUGCAAGCGUUAAUCGGAUUUACUGGGCGUAAAGCGCGCGUAGGUGGCUAAUUAAGUCAAAUGUGAAAUCCCCGAGCUUAACUUGGGAAUUGCAUCCGAUACUGGUUAGCUAGAGUAUGGGAGAGGAUGGUAGAAUUCCAGGUGUAGCGGUGAAAUGCGUAGAGAUCUGGAGGAAUACCGAUGGCGAAGGCAGCCAUCUGGCCUAAUACUGACACUGAGGUGCGAAAGCAUGGGGAGCAAACAGGAUUAGAUACCCUGGUAGUCCAUGCCGUAAACGAUGUCUACUAGCCGUUGGGGCCCUUGAGGCUUUAGUGGCGCAGCUAACGCGAUAAGUAGACCGCCUGGGGAGUACGGUCGCAAGACUAAAACUCAAAUGAAUUGGCGGGG